CUUAGAGGGACAANNGGCGUUUAGCCGCGCGAGAUUGAGCAAUAACAGGUCUGUGAUGCCCUUAGAUGUCCGGGGCGCACGCGCGCUACACUGAAGGGAUCAGCGUGGCCUUCCCCCUGGCCCGAGAGGGCUGGGUAACCCGUUGNAUCCCNUUCGUGCUAGGGAUCCGGGGCUUGUAAUUAUUCCCCGUGAAAGAGGAAUUCCCAGUAAGCGCGGG
This 217-nucleotide ribosomal RNA is filed under the name Peltodoris nobilis. RNAcentral describes it as "partial 18S ribosomal RNA". It matches the Rfam family "Eukaryotic small subunit ribosomal RNA", at positions 1410 to 1627 of the family's 1831-position model. Lineage: Eukaryota; Metazoa; Mollusca; Gastropoda; Nudibranchia; Discodorididae. The record is from RNAcentral.